CAGAUCACGAGGAAAUUCCCUACUCAGUAGUUGCUGAAACGCUGCAGACAUCUCCCGACGAAGUAGAAAAAUGGGUAAUUGCUGCAGUUUCUUCGGGACUUUUGAAUGCUAAAAUGGAUCAGUUGCAAGAGAAAGUCCUUGUGGAACGAAGCGUAGUCAGAAAGUUUGAAAUGGAACAAUGGAAAGCCCUGCAAGCAAGACUCCAUCUAUGGAAGCGUAAUGUUG
RNAcentral lists this non-coding RNA (225 nucleotides) under Tryblionella compressa. The record is from RNAcentral. Lineage: Eukaryota; Bacillariophyta; Bacillariophyceae; Bacillariales; Bacillariaceae.